This 468-nucleotide ribosomal RNA is filed under the name uncultured bacterium. Its description in RNAcentral is "partial 16S ribosomal RNA". It matches the Rfam family "Bacterial small subunit ribosomal RNA", at positions 28 to 507 of the family's 1533-position model. The record is from RNAcentral.
GACGAACGCUGGCGGCGUGCUUAACACAUGCAAGUCGAACGGAAAGGCCCUGCUUUUGUGGGGUGCUCGAGUGGCGAACGGGUGAGUAACACGUGAGUAACCUGCCCUUGACUUUGGGAUGACUUCAGGAAACUGGGGCUAAUACCGGAUAGGAGCUCCUGCUGCAUGGUGGGGGUUGGAAAGUUUCGGCGGUUGGGGAUGGACUCGCGGCUUAUCAGCUUGUUGGUGGGGUAGUGGCUUACCAAGGCUUUGACGGGUAGCCGGCCUGAGAGGGUGACCGGCCACAUUGGGACUGAGAUACGGCCCAGACUCCUACGGGAGGCAGCAGUGGGGAAUAUUGCACAAUGGGCGGAAGCCUGAUGCAGCAACGCCGCGUGCGGGAUGACGGCCUUCGGGUUGUAAACCUCUUUCGCCUGUGACGAAGCGUGAGUGACGGUAAUGGGUAAAGAAGCACCGGCUAACUACGUG